GAUGAACGCUAGCGGCAGGCUUAAUACAUGCAAGGCGAAGGGGCAGCAAUGUCACUGUCGUACGGGUGCGUAACGCGUAUGCAACCUACCUAUCACUGGGGAUAGCCCGGGGAAACCCGGAUUAAUACCGCAUAAACAGGGGCACCGCAUGGUGAUAUUUGUUAAAGAUUUAUUGGUGAUAGAUGGGCAUGCGUUCGAUUAGCUAGUUGGCGGGGUAACGGCCCACCAAGGCGACGAUCGAUAGGGGAGCUGAGAGGUUGAUCCCCCACACGGCGACUGAGAUACGGGCCCGACUCCUACGGGGAGGCAGCAGUAGGGAAUAUUGGGCAAUGGAUGCAAGUCUGACCCAGCCAUGCCGCGUGCCGGAUGAAGGCCCCUCAGGGUUGUAAACGGCUUUUUAUUCGGGAAGAAGAGCAGGGAUGCGUCCUUGUGUGACGGUACCGAAUGAAUAAGCACCGGCUAACUCCGUGCCAGCAG
RNAcentral lists this ribosomal RNA (477 nucleotides) under uncultured bacterium. RNAcentral's name for it is "bacterial SSU rRNA". It matches the Rfam family "Bacterial small subunit ribosomal RNA", at positions 28 to 514 of the family's 1533-position model. The record is from RNAcentral.